RNAcentral lists this ribosomal RNA (59 nucleotides) under Metastelma giuliettianum. RNAcentral's name for it is "partial 26S ribosomal RNA". The record is from RNAcentral. Lineage: Eukaryota; Viridiplantae; Streptophyta; Magnoliopsida; Gentianales; Apocynaceae.
CCCGCGGUCAGGCGGGGCUACCCGCUGAGUUUAAGCAUAUCAAUAAGCGGAGGAAAAGA